This 1223-nucleotide ribosomal RNA is filed under the name uncultured Planctomycetota bacterium. Its description in RNAcentral is "bacterial SSU rRNA". It matches the Rfam family "Bacterial small subunit ribosomal RNA", at positions 8 to 1207 of the family's 1533-position model. Lineage: Bacteria; Pseudomonadati; Planctomycetota. The record is from RNAcentral.
AGAGUUUGAUCAUGGCUCAGAACGAACGUUGGCGGCGUGGCUUAGGCAUGCAAGUCGAACGAGAAAGUUCCUUUCGGGGAGCGAGUAUAGUGGCAAAAGGGUGAGUAAUGAUUAGUUAACCUACCCCUAAAACUGGGAUAACUACCCGAAAGGGUUGCUAAUACCGGAUGGUCUAUGAGAAAUGCAUAUUUUUUAUAGUAAAGGCGCUCGCAAGGGUGUCGAUUAGGGAGGGGAUUAAUUCCUAUUAGCUAGUUGGUGAGGUAAUGGCUCUACCAAGGCAUUGAUGGGUAACCGAUCUGAGAGGAUGACCGGUCACACUGGGACUGAGACACUGCCCAGACUCCUACGGGAGGCUGCAGUCGCGAAUAUUCCGCAAUGGACGCAAGUCUGACGGAGCGACGCCGCGUGUGGGAUGAAGGCCUUAGGGUUGUAAACCACUGUCACACUUUAAGAAAUCAAUUAGGGUAACUCCUAGUUGUUGACAAAGGAGUGGAAGGAAGUCACGGCUAACUACGUGCCAGCAGCCGCGGUAAUACGUAGGUGGCAAACGUUGUUCGGAAUUACUGGGCAUAAAGAGUUUGUAGGCGGUUUGAUAAGUCAGGUGUGAAAUCCCGGGGCUCAACUUCGGAAUGGCAUUUGAUACUGUUAGACUAGAAUAACGGAGAGGUGAGUAGAAUUCAUGGUGUAGCGGUGAAAUGCGUUGAUAUCAUGGAGAAUACCAAUGGCGAAGGCAGCUCACUGGCCGAUUAUUGACGCUGAGAAACGAAAGCUAGGGUAGCGAAAGGGAUUAGAUACCCCUGUAGUCCUAGCCCUAAACGAUGUACAUUGUAUGGUGGGAAUCUUGCAUUUUCACUGUAGCAGCUAAUGCGUUAAAUGUACCGCCUGGGGAGUAUGGUCGCAAGGCUAAAACUCAAAGGAAUUGACGGGGGCUCACACAAGCGGUGGAGCAUGUUGUUUAAUUCGAAGAUACGCGAAGAACCUUACCCAGACUUGACAUGUACGGAUUAGAUUACAGAAAUGUAGUUGACACUCAUUCUGAGUGGAACGUACACAGGUGUUGCAUGGCUGUCGUCAGCUCGUGUCGUGAGAUGUGAGGUUAAGUCCUUUAAUGAGCGCAACCCCUAUCUUCUGUUACCAUCGCGUCCUGGCGGGGACUCUGGAGAGACUGCCGGUGUUAACCGGAGAAAGCGGGGAACGACGUCAAGUCAUCAUGGCCCUUAUGU